Molecule: ribosomal RNA, 140 nt
Filed under: uncultured bacterium
Lineage: Bacteria
Description: partial 16S ribosomal RNA
Rfam family: Bacterial small subunit ribosomal RNA
Source: RNAcentral
UGGGGAAUCUUGCACAAUGGGCGAAAGCCUGAUGCAGCAACGCCGCGUGAGCGAAGAAGGCCUUUGGGUCGUAAAGCUCUGUCCUAAGGGAAGAAGGAAGUGACGGUACCUUAGGAGGAAGCCCCGGCUAACUACGUGCC